RNAcentral lists this ribosomal RNA (468 nucleotides) under uncultured bacterium. RNAcentral's name for it is "partial 16S ribosomal RNA". It matches the Rfam family "Bacterial small subunit ribosomal RNA", at positions 28 to 507 of the family's 1533-position model. The record is from RNAcentral.
GACGAACGCUGGCGGCGUGCUUAACACAUGCAAGUCGAACGGAAAGGCCCUGCUUUUGUGGGGUGCUCGAGUGGCGAACGGGUGAGUAACACGUGAGUAACUUGCCCUUGACUUUGGGAUAACUUCAGGAAACUGGGGCUAAUACCGGAUAGGAGCUCCUGCUGCAUGGUGGGGGUUGGAAAGUUUCGGCGGUUGGGGAUGGACUCGCGGCUUAUCAGCUUGUUGGUGGGGUAGUGGCUUACCAAGGCUUUGACGGGUAGCCGGCCUGAGAGGGUGACCGGCCACAUUGGGACUGAGAUACGGCCCAGACUCCUACGGGAGGCAGCAGUGGGGAAUAUUGCACAAUGGGCGGAAGCCUGAUGCAGCAACGCCGCGUGCGGGAUGACAGCCUUCGGGUUGUAAACCGCUUUCGCCUGUGACGAAGCGUGAGUGACGGUAAUGGGUAAAGAAGCACCGGCUAACUACGUG